RNAcentral lists this ribosomal RNA (497 nucleotides) under uncultured bacterium. RNAcentral's name for it is "partial 16S ribosomal RNA". It matches the Rfam family "Bacterial small subunit ribosomal RNA", at positions 28 to 507 of the family's 1533-position model. The record is from RNAcentral.
GACGAACGCUGGCGGCGUGCCUAAUACAUGCAAGUAGAACGCUGAAGCUUGGUGCUUGCACCGAGCGGAUGAGCUGCGAACGGGUGAGUAACGCGUAGGUAACCUGCCUGGUAGCGGGGGAUAACUAUUGGAAACGAUAGCUAAUACCGCAUAAGAGUAGAUGUUGCAUGACAUUUGCUUAAAAGGUGCAAUUGCAUCACUACCAGAUGGACCUGCGUUGUAUUAGCUAGUUGGUGAGGUAACGGCUCACCAAGGCAACGAUACAUAGCCGACCUGAGAGGGUGAUCGGCCACACUGGGACUGAGACACGGCCCAGACUCCUACGGGAGGCAGCAGUAGGGAAUCUUCGGCAAUAGACGGAAGUCUGACCGAGCAACGCCGCGUGAGUGAAGAAGGUUUUCGGAUCGUAAAGCUCUGUUGUAAGAGAAGAACGAGUGUGAGAGUGGAAAGUUCACACUGUGACGGUAUCUUACCAGAAAGGGACGGCUAACUACGUG